UAGGGAAUCUUCGGCAAUGGGGGCAACCCUGACCGAGCAACGCCGCGUGAGUGAAGAAGGUUUUCGGAUCGUAAAGCUCUGUUGUAAGUCAAGAACGGGUGUGAGAGUGGAAAGUUCACACUGUGACGGUAGCUUACCAGAAAGGGACGGCUAACUACGUGCCAGCAGCCGGGGUAAUACGUAGGUCCCGAGCGUUGUCCGGAUUUAUUGGGCGUAAAGCGAGCGCAGGCGGUUUGAUAAGUCUGAAGUUAAAGGCUGUGGCUCAACCAUAGUUCGCUUUUGAAACUGUCAAACUUGAGUGCAGAAGGGGAGAGUGGAAUUCCAUGUGUAGCGGUGAAAUGCGUAGAUAUAUGGAGGAACACCGGUGGCGAAAGCGGCUCUCUGGUCUGUAACUGACGCUGAGGCUCGAAAGCGUGGGGAGCGAACAGG
This 429-nucleotide ribosomal RNA is filed under the name bacterium. RNAcentral describes it as "partial 16S ribosomal RNA". It matches the Rfam family "Bacterial small subunit ribosomal RNA", at positions 355 to 776 of the family's 1533-position model. The record is from RNAcentral.